This 254-nucleotide ribosomal RNA is filed under the name uncultured bacterium. Its description in RNAcentral is "partial 16S ribosomal RNA". It matches the Rfam family "Bacterial small subunit ribosomal RNA", at positions 524 to 776 of the family's 1533-position model. The record is from RNAcentral.
CACGUAGGGUGCGAGCGUUGUCCGGAAUUAUUGGGCGUAAAGAGCUCGUAGGCGGUGUGUCGCGUCGGCCGUGAAAACCUGCAGCUUAACUGUGGGCUUGCGGUCGAUACGGGCAUCACUGGAGUUCGGCAGGGGAGACUGGAAUUCCUGGUGUAGCGGUGAAAUGCGCAGAUAUCAGGAGGAACACCGGGGGCGAAGGCGGGGCUCUGGGCCGAUACUGACGCUGAGGAGCGAAAGCGUGGGGAGCAAACAGG